UGGGUCGAUGCCCGAGCGGUUAAUGGGGGCGGACUGUAAAUCCGUUGGCUAUGCCUACGCUGGUUCAAAUCCAGCUCGGCCCAU
Molecule: transfer RNA, 84 nt
Filed under: Chroococcidiopsis cubana SAG 39.79
Lineage: Bacteria; Bacillati; Cyanobacteriota; Cyanophyceae; Chroococcidiopsidales; Chroococcidiopsidaceae
Description: tRNA-Tyr
Rfam family: tRNA
About the family: Transfer RNA (tRNA) molecules are approximately 80 nucleotides in length.
Source: RNAcentral